This 466-nucleotide ribosomal RNA is filed under the name uncultured bacterium. RNAcentral describes it as "bacterial SSU rRNA". It matches the Rfam family "Bacterial small subunit ribosomal RNA", at positions 37 to 518 of the family's 1533-position model. The record is from RNAcentral.
UGGCGGCGUGCCUAACACAUGCAAGUCGAGCGAGGAGAUUCCUUCGGGAUGAUCCUAGCGGCGGACGGGUGAGUAACACGUGGGCAACCUGCCUCAUAGAGAGGAAUAGCCUUCCGAAAGGGAGAUUAAUACCUCAUAACAUUGCAGUUUCGCAUGGAACAGCAAUUAAAGGAGCAAUCCACUAUGAGAUGGGCCCGCGGCGCAUUAGCUAGUUGGUGAGGUAACGGCUCACCAAGGCGACGAUGCGUAGCCGACCUGAGAGGGUGAUCGGCCACAUUGGGACUGAGACACGGCCCAGACUCCUACGGGAGGCAGCAGUGGGGAAUAUUGGCACAAUGGGGGAAACCCUGAUGCAAGCAACGCCGCGUGAGUGAUGACGGCCUUCGGGUUGUAAAGCUCUGUCUUCAGGGACGAUAAUGACGGUACCUGAGGAGGAAGCCACGGCUAACUACGUGCCAGCAGCCGC